Long non-coding RNA from Capsella rubella, 347 nucleotides. RefSeq lists it as uncharacterized. The transcript has 2 exons. The record is from RefSeq and is a predicted model, not a curated record. NCBI's taxonomy places the organism in Eukaryota, Viridiplantae, Streptophyta, Magnoliopsida, Brassicales, Brassicaceae.
GACACAGUUCUAUAAAUAUUAAAAACUACCAAAUCAUUUUUGGGAUUAAUUUGCCAACCAAUGGAAAAACGAUUAUGAGGUUUUUCGCCCUAGCUCCGUCAGCGAUCAUCUUGGAUAUAAAAAAACACUCUUCGUUCUAAGUUAGAGACCUUCUCUCAAGUAUCUAGAGCUCCUCCUGCUGUUUCUUACAUGGCUACGUACGUACUUAGCUUGGUUAGAGGUUUUCCAACCUUAAUCUUGUUUAUGCUUAGGUAUAUAAGUAGGUAAAAGGUCUCUACUCUUUUUGUUUCAAGCUUUCUACUUAGUUUGUAACCAUUCGAAAAUAAUAAUAAUAAUUAAUUAACGUA